RNAcentral lists this ribosomal RNA (493 nucleotides) under uncultured bacterium. RNAcentral's name for it is "partial 16S ribosomal RNA". It matches the Rfam family "Bacterial small subunit ribosomal RNA", at positions 28 to 507 of the family's 1533-position model. The record is from RNAcentral.
GACGAACGCUGGCGGCGUGCUUAACACAUGCAAGUCGAACGGAAAGGCCUGCUUUCCCUUGUGGAUUGCGGGUACUCGAGUGGCGAACGGGUGAGUAACACGUGAGUGAUCUGCCCCCAACUUGGGUAUAGCCUGGGAAACCGGGUCUAAUUUCCGAUAGGACCGCAGGGUGGUGCCUGUGGUGGAAAACGAUUUUCUAGUGGUUGGGGAUGAGCUUGCGGCCCAUCAGGUUGUUGGUGGGGUAAUGGCCUACCAAGGCGGCGACGGGUAGCCGGGCUGAGAGGGUGGACGGCCACAUUGGGACUGAGAUACGGCCCAGACUCCUACGGGAGGCAGCAGCGGGGAAUAUUGCACAAUGGGCGGAAGCCUGAUGCAGCGACGCCGCGUGGGGGAUGACGGCCUUCGGGUUGUAAACUCCUUUCGACCGCGAGGAAGCCACCUGGUUGGAAGGGUGGUGACGGUAGUGGUAGAAGAAGCACCGGCUAACUACGUG